Molecule: long non-coding RNA, 208 nt
Organism: Oxyura jamaicensis (ruddy duck)
Lineage: Eukaryota; Metazoa; Chordata; Aves; Anseriformes; Anatidae
Exons: 3
Source: RefSeq, a predicted model, not a curated record
GGCCCCCCCCGCCCCCCCCAAGCCCCCACGGGACCCCCCCCCCCCGCAGCCGCCGGCGGAGGAGCAGAGCAAAGAGGCGAAGAAGGAGAGCGGCGGCAGCAGCAGCAGCAGCAGCCGGAAGAAGCGGAGCCGGAGCCGGAGCCGGAGCCGCGACCACAGACACAGGUGAGGGCGUUUUGGGGCCGAACCCGGGGCUUUCGGGGCUUUC